UGUGAAAAGGACCAGGAACCUAGUGAAUG
RNAcentral lists this non-coding RNA (29 nucleotides) under Mus musculus (house mouse). The record is from RNAcentral. Lineage: Eukaryota; Metazoa; Chordata; Mammalia; Rodentia; Muridae.